GGGUCAGUGGGUUGGUCGUGCCACCGGUACGUACUGGUCUCACUGAUUCCUCCUUCCUGAAGAACCGUAAUGCCAUUAAUUUGGCGUUGCGGGGAAACAGGACUGUUACUUUGAAAAAAUUAGAGUGUUUAAAGCAAGCUAACGCUUGAAUACAUUAGCAUGGAAUAAUGAAAUAGGACGAUCGAUCCUAUUUUGUUGGUUUCUAGGAUUGACGUA
This 216-nucleotide ribosomal RNA is filed under the name Glomeromycotina sp. Its description in RNAcentral is "partial small subunit ribosomal RNA". The stretch from base 40 to 216 matches the Rfam family "Eukaryotic small subunit ribosomal RNA", at positions 686 to 864 of the family's 1831-position model. Lineage: Eukaryota; Fungi; Glomeromycota. The record is from RNAcentral.